CUGCUCACUUUGGCAACACAUAUACUAAAAUUGGAAUGGUACAGAGAAGAUUAGCAUGGCCCCUGCACAAGGAUGACACAAGAAUUUGUGAAGUGUUCCAUAUAAAA
RNAcentral lists this small nuclear RNA (107 nucleotides) under Mustela putorius furo (domestic ferret). The record is from RNAcentral. Lineage: Eukaryota; Metazoa; Chordata; Mammalia; Carnivora; Mustelidae.